Molecule: non-coding RNA, 87 nt
Organism: Hypoxylon sp. FL0543
Lineage: Eukaryota; Fungi; Ascomycota; Sordariomycetes; Xylariales; Hypoxylaceae
Source: the annotation of a GenBank genome assembly
CCCCGGGUGGUGCAAUGGUUAGGCACCUGGCUGACCUCUUGGUUGGUGUAGACUAAGAGGUAGUGGGUUUGAAUCCCACCUUGGUAA